ACUGUGCCUCUCUGUUUUCAG
RNAcentral lists this microRNA (21 nucleotides) under Mus musculus (house mouse). RNAcentral's name for it is "mmu-miR-7043-3p". Lineage: Eukaryota; Metazoa; Chordata; Mammalia; Rodentia; Muridae. The record is from miRBase by way of RNAcentral.